AAAGCAAAUCAAUUGUAGUUUACUUUUAGUGUGUGUGUGUGUGUCUGUGUAGGGGGUGUGUGAUGAGGGUAGGGGGCAGGUAAGGACAGAGAGGGGUAGAGA
Myripristis murdjan (pinecone soldierfish) is the source of this 102-nucleotide long non-coding RNA. RefSeq lists it as uncharacterized. The record is from RefSeq and is a predicted model, not a curated record. Lineage: Eukaryota; Metazoa; Chordata; Actinopteri; Holocentriformes; Holocentridae. The transcript has 2 exons.